UACAGAGGGUGCGAGCGUUAAUCGGAAUUACUGGGCGUAAAGCGUGCGUAGACGGUUAUUUAAGUCGGAUGUGAAAGCCCCGGGCUCAACCUGGGAAUUGCAUUCGAGACUGAAUAGCUAGGGUACGGUAGAGGGAAGUGGAAUUUCCGGUGUAGCGGUGAAAUGCGUAGAUAUCGGAAGGAACAUCAGUGGCGAAAGCGGCUUCCUGGACCAGUACCGACGUUCAGGCACGAAAGCGUGGGGAGCAAACAGG
RNAcentral lists this ribosomal RNA (253 nucleotides) under uncultured bacterium. RNAcentral's name for it is "partial 16S ribosomal RNA". It matches the Rfam family "Bacterial small subunit ribosomal RNA", at positions 524 to 776 of the family's 1533-position model. The record is from RNAcentral.